GGCCCGUUGGUCAAGCGGUUAAGACACGGCCCUCUCACGGCUGAAACUGGGGUUCGAUUCCCCAACGGGUCA
RNAcentral lists this transfer RNA (72 nucleotides) under Clostridiales bacterium. RNAcentral describes it as "tRNA-Glu". It matches the Rfam family "tRNA". Rfam says of the family: Transfer RNA (tRNA) molecules are approximately 80 nucleotides in length. The record is from RNAcentral. Lineage: Bacteria; Bacillati; Bacillota; Clostridia; Eubacteriales.